AUGAGAAGCGAAAUUGAGAUGCUGGAAAGACAAACAGGAGGAGGUGGAGAAAUACAGAGACUGGCUUCGGUUCUAACCACCCUCUUCAGGUAUAUCACCAAGCCCAGCCAGGCGACAUCUAGUGGUCAACCUUGGAUCACCGUGAAGUUUUUGCCUGAAUGUCUCUCACGUGGGGCUAUUUUGCCAUUGGCGGCCCUUUUGGCAUGUCCUGGGUUUGUCGCGAGAUUUGAAGUUGAGUAUAAGCACGGCCCGAAUACAUGUUUUAGUUUUCCAGCCUCUCAAAGACGUGGUGACUGCGCCAAGGCACUCUACUGUUUCUGCAUCAAACAGCAAGACACUAAUGAUUGUCUGGACAAAAUCAGAGACGGCCUUGGACUCCGUGUGAGCAAUGACCGCCGGUGCCUGUGAGCAGGACUUCCCUGGGACACCAGGGAGUCCUGCACACUACUGCUGGAUAAAGCCAUACAUUCUUCCUUCCAUUUGCACUUUUCUCCGUUAGAGAAACUCCAGCAUCCUUGCUUAAAAUACGUGCCCUCCAGCUCUGCAGUCCAGGGAUCCCAUGGGUAAGUGACGGAAGCUGACUUUCCAAGCAGAGAAAUCCCUCCCUUUUGUCAAAUGGGCUCCAUCUACAUUUCCACCCGUUUCUUGACUUUUCCUCUAUGCUCAGGCCAUUUUUUUAAACCCCAAAUUCUUUCCCCUCUUUUCUGCUAAGAAAUGUUUUAUACUAGGAAGACUUUCUUAACUAAGAAGGCUGCUCUUUUUAUUUUAGACUUCUUGAUUACUUGGCCAGACAGAAAUC
This 799-nucleotide long non-coding RNA is filed under the name Bos indicus x Bos taurus (hybrid cattle). RNAcentral describes it as "lncRNA (ENSBIXG00005030360.1)". Lineage: Eukaryota; Metazoa; Chordata; Mammalia; Artiodactyla; Bovidae. The record is from RNAcentral.